UGAGGUACUUAUAGUGCAUUGUUCAAUGAGCGUUCGCUCUUCGUACGUAUGAUGCUGUCCAUCUGUUGAAAGUUCAUGUCCCCUCAUUAGAGCGCAUACCUUACUAAGGAUGAACCUUUUUGGAUGGAACACUAAAACUACAUUUACUAAAGGCCUAAUCUCACACCAUUCGGUUAGGUUAAAUUUCCCGCGAGCUUAGCUUUACCAAACUUUUAAAACGUGGUAGGUAUAUUUCAUUAAUGUCUAAAAUAAGUUUGAGUACUCUAAAUUAGCUAAAUGUGUAUUGUAUUGUUCAAUUUACAAUGUCUAUACAGUGGUUGGCUGAAUAAACAUAAUGUGUAAAUG
Plutella xylostella (diamondback moth) is the source of this 345-nucleotide long non-coding RNA. RefSeq lists it as uncharacterized. NCBI's taxonomy places the organism in Eukaryota, Metazoa, Arthropoda, Insecta, Lepidoptera, Plutellidae. The record is from RefSeq and is a predicted model, not a curated record.